Molecule: ribosomal RNA, 464 nt
Filed under: uncultured bacterium
Lineage: Bacteria
Description: partial 16S ribosomal RNA
Rfam family: Bacterial small subunit ribosomal RNA
Source: RNAcentral
ACGCACGCUGGCGGCGUGCUUAACACCUGCCAGUCGAACGGAAAGGCCCUGCUUGCAGGGUACUCGAGUGGCGAACGGGUGAGUAACACGUGGGUGAUCUGCCCUGCACUUCGGGAUAAGCCUGGGAAACUGGGUCUAAUACCGGAUAGGAGCCAUUUUUAGUGUGAUGGUUGGAAAGUUUUUUCGGUGUAGGAUGAGCUCGCGGCCUAUCAGCUUGUUGGUGGGGUAAUGGCCUACCAAGGCGGCGACGGGUAGCCGGCCUGAGAGGGUGGACGGCCACAUUGGGACUGAGAUACGGCCCAGACUCCUACGGGAGGCAGCAGUGGGGAAUAUUGCACAAUGGGCGCAAGCCUGAUGCAGCGACGCCGCGUGGGGGAUGACGGCCUUCGGGUUGUAAACUCCUUUCGCUAGGGACGAAGCUUUUUGUGACGGUACCUAGAUAAGAAGCACCGGCUAACUACGUG